Long non-coding RNA from Gasterosteus aculeatus aculeatus (three-spined stickleback), 1151 nucleotides. The record is from Ensembl. Lineage: Eukaryota; Metazoa; Chordata; Actinopteri; Perciformes; Gasterosteidae.
CUGAGCUCGGUUCUGUGCUUCACAUUCCUCCACGGUAAAGCCUUGAAUCCGCGAGCGAAGCACAGGAGUGAAUAUGGCAGCGCUGGCUCACGGGAAUCAUCCGCCUUGUCUUGUCCACCGUUGGCGAAGAAUGCGUUGGGUACAUUAUUUCAACGACGAUCAGCUGUGAUGCGUAUGGCUGCUGUAGCUAUCGGGAGCUUGUGCUUAUGGUGUGCACUUACUGUAAGUCCCUUUGGAUAAAAGCGUCGGCUAAGAGACGUAACGUAAUGUGCACGGGUCAAAAUCCACACUGGAUUCAUUUGAUACCACGCAAAAGUCCGCUAUAACGUAUAGCCAAGACCGCGUUGUUCCUCAGCUGAACAGUAUCACCCCGUCCAGUGAUUAAUAUCUAAAGCGCCAACCGCCCCCACUGGGGCCGUCUAAGCGUCUGUGUUACAGCGCCUGACUUCAGAUUCAACUCGCGGUCGCCGUGGUCACCACUGAUUGCCCCAAUGGAUGAAUAAUUCAUGUCUCCCGCUCGGUGUGGACUCUCAACCCUCGCUGUGUUUUUUUUUUUUCUUUGCUGUGCACUUUUUCCACCCAGUGGCGUGAUCCGCUCCCUCCCAGUCCAUCAGGGGCAGCGGAAAAGGCCAGCGCGGGCGGUGUGGAUUGAACCCAACAAGCGCGCUCGCCACGCGGCGUCUCUCCUGUAAUAAAGCCGAGAUUGAAACGUUUUCAUUUCCUGCGCCGUGGCUCCGCUCAGACAAAAGGUCUCCGACACUCACAGACAACACACGCGCGCUUUAAAAAUUUUUUUUUUUUUACUGUAACCUUUUGACAUGUUUUGUUCUGUGCCUUGAUGGUGGAAGGAGAAAAAGAAAAGGAGUCAUGCGCGACGCCGCCGUGCGCCCUCUCUUUCGGUUGUGAGGAAAUGCGGAACGUUAGGUGCUCCUCAUGAUGCACAUCACCCGAAUGUCAAAUUAGAUCAGCAGUGAUCUCAGACCGGAAAGAAAACAUUGCAUAACCAACGCCCCGUGUCCUCUCCCUCUCACGAGGACGGGGAUCACAUCGCGCUCUCGCUGCCUCGGCCAAGUGGUAGUCCACCCAAUUAUCCAGAGAGCGCUCGCGGCGCAGACUUGAGAAGCGUGUGCCAUGGCGGGAGACUUCGCCCA